Molecule: ribosomal RNA, 87 nt
Filed under: Clostridioides difficile P11
Lineage: Bacteria; Bacillati; Bacillota; Clostridia; Peptostreptococcales; Peptostreptococcaceae
Source: RNAcentral
UGGUUACAAUAGCAGAGAGGAUACACCUGUUCCCAUUCCGAACACAGAAGUUAAGCUCUCUAGCGCUGAUGGUACUUGGUGGGAAAC